GACGAACGCUGGCGGCGUGCCUAACACAUGCAAGUCGAACGGAGAUAUUUGAAAGAAGUUUUCGGAUGGAUUUUAAAUAUCUUAGUGGCGGACGGGCGAGUAACGCGUGAGCAACCUGCCCUUCAGUGGGGAAUAACGACCGGAAACGGGCGCUAAUACCGCAUAAAAUAUACAUUUGGCAUCGAAAGUAUAUCAAAGGAGCAAUUCGCUGAAGGAUGGGCUCGCGUCCGAUUAGCUGGUUGGUGAGGUAACGGCUCACCAAGGCGACGAUCGGUAGCCGAACUGAGAGGUUGAUCGGCCGCAUUGGGACUGAGACACGGCCCAGACUCCUACGGGAGGCAGCAGUGGGGGAUAUUGCACAAUGGAGGAAACUCUGAUGCAGCAACGCCGCGUGAGGGAAGAAGGUCUUCGGAUUGUAAACCUUAGUAGUCAGGGACGAAACAAAUGACGGUACCUGAAGAGUAAGCUCCGGCUAACUACGUGCCAGCAGCCGCGGUAAAAGUGU
Molecule: ribosomal RNA, 505 nt
Filed under: uncultured bacterium
Lineage: Bacteria
Description: bacterial SSU rRNA
Rfam family: Bacterial small subunit ribosomal RNA
Source: RNAcentral